CUACGGAGGGUGCGAGCGUUAAUCGGAAUUACUGGGCGUAAAGCGUGCGUAGGCGGUUUGCUAAGUCAGAUGUGAAAGCCCCGGGCUUAACCUGGGAACUGCAUUUGAUACUGGCAGACUAGAGUAUGAUAGAGGGGGGUAGAAUUCCUGGUGUAGCGGUGAAAUGCGUAGAUAUCAGGAGGAAUACCAGUGGCGAAGGCGGCCCCCUGGAUCAAUUCUGACGCUGAGGUACGAAAGCGUGGGGAGCGAACAGGAUUAGAAACCCUUGUAGUCC
Molecule: ribosomal RNA, 274 nt
Filed under: uncultured bacterium
Lineage: Bacteria
Description: partial 16S ribosomal RNA
Rfam family: Bacterial small subunit ribosomal RNA
Source: RNAcentral